RNAcentral lists this unclassified non-coding RNA (337 nucleotides) under fungal sp. RNAcentral describes it as "partial internal transcribed spacer region". The stretch from base 1 to 46 matches the Rfam family "Eukaryotic small subunit ribosomal RNA", at positions 1786 to 1831 of the family's 1831-position model. Lineage: Eukaryota; Fungi. The record is from RNAcentral.
AAGUCGUAACAAGGUCUCCGUAGGUGAACCUGCGGAGGGAUCAUUUCUGAUUGUGUGGGUAACACCGCAUGAACAACAAUAACAACAACCCUGAUUGGGAUGAUGGUGGCCGAGGUAUAUACGGCUGGUGGUUGUGGUGGAGACUGGUGAUUUUGAGGUGUGAUUUAGGUCAUGCUUGAGAGAGAGCCGGGACACGCCCGACCGUGUGUGAACUUGAUGCAACUGAUGUUGGAAUGGCCGCGCGAGAUGUUGUGGCUGUUGGAAGAAGCGUCCGGGACAUGCCGAAUGGCAUGACUUGAUAAUCUUACAACUUUUGGCAAUGGAUCUCUUGGUUCUC